RNAcentral lists this ribosomal RNA (424 nucleotides) under Verrucomicrobiota bacterium. Its description in RNAcentral is "Verrucomicrobia bacterium partial 16S ribosomal RNA". It matches the Rfam family "Bacterial small subunit ribosomal RNA", at positions 355 to 776 of the family's 1533-position model. Lineage: Bacteria; Pseudomonadati; Verrucomicrobiota. The record is from RNAcentral.
UGAGGAAUAUUGGUCAAUGGACGCAAGUCUGAACCAGCCAAGUAGCGUGCAGGAUGACGGCCCUAUGGGUUGAAAACUGCUUUUAUAUGGGGAUAAAGUGGGGAACGUGUUCCCUUUUGCAGGUACCAUAUGAAUAAGGACCGGCUAAUUCCGUGCCAGCAGCCGCGGUAAUACGGAAGGUUCGGGCGUUAUCCGGAUUUAUUGGGUUUAAAGGGAGCGUAGGCCGUUUGGUAAGCGUGUUGUGAAAUGUAGGAGCUCAACUUCUAGAUUGCAGCGCGAACUGUCAGACUUGAGUGCGCACAACGUAGGCGGAAUUCAUGGUGUAGCGGUGAAAUGCUUAGAUAUCAUGAAGAACUCCGAUUGCGAAGGCAGCUUACGGGAGCGCAACUGACGCUGAAGCUCGAAGGUGCGGGUAUCGAACAGG